GAUGAACGCUGGCGGCGUGCCUAAUACAUGCAAGUCGAGCGAACGGACGAGAAGCUUGCUUUUCUGAUGUUAGCGGCGGACGGGUGAGUAACACGUGGAUAACCUACCUAUAAGACUGGGAUAACUUCGGGAAACCGGAGCUAAUACCGGAUAAUAUUUUGAACCGCAUGGUUCAAAAGUGAAAGACGGUCUUGCUGUCACUUAUAGAUGGAUCCGCGCUGCAUUAGCUAGUUGGUAAGGUAACGGCUUACCAAGGCAACGAUGCAUAGCCGACCUGAGAGGUUGACCGGCCACACUGAACCUGAGCCACGGCCCAGACUCCAACGGAAGGCGGCAUAAGGAAAUUUUCGGCAAUGGGGGAAACCCUACCGGAGAAACGCGGGGUGGUUGAUGAAGUCCUUCGGAUGUUAAACCCUUUUUAUUAGGGAAAAAAAAUUUUGUAAGUAACUGUGCCCAUCUGGCCGGUCCCAAUCAGAAAGCCACGGCUAACUACGUG
This 496-nucleotide ribosomal RNA is filed under the name uncultured bacterium. RNAcentral's name for it is "partial 16S ribosomal RNA". It matches the Rfam family "Bacterial small subunit ribosomal RNA", at positions 28 to 507 of the family's 1533-position model. The record is from RNAcentral.